AGUGUGUCGUGGCAGUGUUAUACAUUCUUUCUUUUACUUAACAUGGUGGAUGAAGCAGUGGGAACUAGGAAUUUAGCUUCUUCACUCAGCAAGGUGAAUGUGAUAACACAAUUCCAAAAUAAUGAGUGCUGUGAUUGACCUUUUCAUGUAAAUGCUUCCAAUUGCAGACAGCCACUUUAAACAUUGUGUUGGACAUGUUGGGAACAGAUUAUCAUGGUUACGAUAUUCGCAUUUGUUUUUUUUGGCCUUUAUUUGCUACCUCUCGGUCUAGAGUUGUCAAACUAGAACUAGCCCAUUCUUGUCGUAGAGAAGUAUGGCGGAUGUUAGGGAUGGCAAGUUAUGUUUAGACUAAUUAGUUGUGGAGUACAAACCAACGAAUGGUUGUCUCCAUUUAAGCCAUUGAUUGGGCCUCCCGUUGUCUUCAUCAGGUUGUAAACAGAACUCUCAGGUGAAGCAAGUUAGGUUCAUCUUGGACGUUCUUCAGUUGAAUUGAUUCAUAAGAUGCAAGGAAGAAAUAACAGGGAAUUUGGUAACAGCUUACCAUUCAUCUGGGGUCACAGGAUCGUGCAUUUCCCAGGCACCAACCUGAAUCAUCUAGCAACCUCAUAUUUAGUGAAGAGGGGAAGAAGGCUAAGAAGGAAAAAGACUAAUUCAUUGAAAUUAUCCAUCCAAUGGAGCAGUCAUCCACAUUCUUCUUGCUAUCCAGACUGAUACCAAUUCAACCCAAUUCUGUCAUACAAUUUCAGUUGUUAACAAAGUACUCAUACAAAUGCGGGGCUCUUUUGAGAAGCAAAUCACAAGAGAACUCGCUCUGUCUGUGAAGAGAGAGAGAGAGAGAGAGAGAGCGCCAUGGCAUGUACCAGUUCAAUAUCUAUGGCUCAAGCCAGGAAAGGGACUAAGCCUGAAUUCAUCUUGGGUGAUCAUUAAGUUCCAUUGAGCUUGAUUAUGCAAUCUUUCGUCAUCUGUUUUAUUUUAUUAGCAGUAUGUUUUGAAUAGUUUGUAGAUGUUGAGCUUAGCAAUAAAUUUUUUCUAAGUACCAUAAUCUCUUUUAUGGGGCAAAAAAUCAUGUACUCCAAAAUGUUUGCUUAAAUAUUCCUAAUCUCUAGAGGACAAGGGGACCCCUUUCUCAAGUCAGUUGCUUCAAUUUCUGAUAUGUCCUUUUUGUCUGGAAUUGUAAAUUGGUAGCUAGUAUAGCCAGCACAUAUCUAUUUUCCUUUUGUUGUUAACUUUGAAAUCUACCUACAGUUUGUCAUUGCUUUUUGGUUUCAAGUUCACUGAUGGAUGGAAUUUCCUUAUGAAGUACUUCUUCAGCCUGAGCCUCACAGGGUCAAAACAUGACCAAGUUCGAGCAGCCAGCAGCAUCUAGUGAAGAAAAAGAUACUAUUCUGGUCUUCACACUGAAAUGGCUAAGAGAUGAAUGCAAUUUGCAGCAUGGUGAAGAAGAUGCACGCAGAAAGUACUUGAGUCUCAUCUCGACUGCUUUUGAGCGGAGGGCUUUCAUAUCUUAAAGCAGCUAAGCCGAACAUCCACAAAUUUGCUUUCCAGAUGAUUCAAUUGACUUGAUGUGGGCCAUGAAAAGCUCAAGCUGAAGCAUCCAAAGUUUUUGAAACCAUCACCUGUUGCUCCUGAUUCUCGCUCAUUGAUCAUUACCAUCACGUGCUUUGGUAAUAAUAAUUGAUAGCAUGAUCUAGCUCGUCUUAUGUAUGUGAAAUUCCUUUUAAGUUUUGAAUUUUAGCACCCUUCACAUCACCAUAGAUGCUCACUCAUCACGCGGGGACAAAUAUCGUAUUAACAAAUCGAGAGGCAAUCGUACUAACUAAUCAAGUAAAGGGAGAAGUCAAGCUUAUACUAAUAUUAGUUCAUUUAUGAUUGAGCCAUAAAGAUGGUAUUACAUGAUAUUAUUAGCGAGGCAUCUGCACCGUGGUGCAGAUGCCACUGAAGAAGCACAAAAGACAGUAGAGGACAACAUUAAAAUUACGUCACAACCACAUUAUAGGUGACUUUCACAGCACAUGCAUAUAACAUCGGGUUUCUGUGCUCAAUGACCACAGGUGCCACAGGUGCAAUUGGUGCAGGCGCAGCUGCUGCCGCACUUGCACUUGCCAUCAUUCUCAGCAGCCGGAGCAUCCAUGAAGACAGUCUCGAUGUGGCUGCAUCAGUAAGGCAACCAUCAGAAACUGAAACAACUGAUAUCGUGAUACUUAAUAACGUAAAAAAGAAAGUGAUCAAUUGUAAGGUACUUAUGCCAGGUAAAAAUUCGUCUUUCAGGACAAAAAAAGAUGGAAAAAGUUCGAAUUCUUUCUUCAUCAAGUCUGAAAUCUCAGGUGUUCUUCUUUAGAGUUGUGUAGAAGGAGAUGUUUUGCAUAUGCUGUCAAUGAUACUCGUUUAUUGCUGUUCCUGUGUUUUGCAAGGGUGUGUUCUAAUAA
This is a long non-coding RNA of Eucalyptus grandis, 2426 nucleotides long. RefSeq lists it as uncharacterized. The transcript is spliced from 2 exons. NCBI's taxonomy places the organism in Eukaryota, Viridiplantae, Streptophyta, Magnoliopsida, Myrtales, Myrtaceae. The record is from RefSeq and is a predicted model, not a curated record.